CGGGGCGGGCGGUGGCCCGGCCCCGGGGCAUCCCCGCGGGCAGCGGCCCCUUGGCUGUCACCCCUGCAUGGGCUAGGGGGCGCCGCCGGGGAGCGGGCGUUGCCCCGGCAGGGGGAUGGAGGGAGCUGCCUGUGAAUUCCCUGGGGACCGCCCCAGGAGCCUGGACUUCGGUUGUCCCUUCGGGGCAGCAGCCCCAGUGCCUUGCCCCGGGGCGCUGGCCAUUGUUAGAGCUAAUCCGGGCUCCGGAGGCUCUUUUCCGUCCCCGCGGUGAAGGGUGGGCAAGUGGAUCUUGUACUUAGGCUGGUAAAAUUGCACGAGAAUUUUGCAAAACUGAUGUAGUGGGUUUUUUAAAUCCCGCCUCCAAUGGUACUGGGGCAGGGAAGGGAUCAGCAGCCAUCCCCUUGGGAUUGGCAGCCAGUCCUGGGCUAAACAUAGCUUCUGAGAGGGGGAAAAAGCCCCGUUUCCCCUUGUGGUUGUUUUUAUUAUUAACUAAUAACUUAAACUCCCAUCUAUUAAAGCUUCCACAUUUUUAUGCGGACAAUCAAAAGAGAAGCAGAAGUUUUAACUGCCUUCUUUCCUGUGUAUCUGACUUUUUUGAGGAGGAGCUCGGUAGAGGGCAGACAGGAGUAAAAGCAGCAAGAUCCCCAACAAGAAAGUUGACUCCAGCAGUCCAUCCUACCAAGGGUGUCUGA
RNAcentral lists this long non-coding RNA (692 nucleotides) under Chrysemys picta bellii (western painted turtle). RNAcentral describes it as "lncRNA (ENSCPBG00000012174.1)". The record is from RNAcentral. Lineage: Eukaryota; Metazoa; Chordata; Testudines; Emydidae.